UCUUAUCCAGAGAGGUGGAGGGACUGGCCCUUCGAAGCCUCGGCAACAGGCAAUUACUGCACUGUGCCAAUUCCAGUAGCAAGAUGCUAGAAGAUAAGG
RNAcentral lists this non-coding RNA (99 nucleotides) under Candidatus Salinicoccus stercoripullorum. RNAcentral's name for it is "SAM riboswitch (S box leader)". It matches the Rfam family "SAM riboswitch aptamer (S box leader)". From Rfam's summary of the family: The SAM riboswitch is found upstream of a number of genes which code for proteins involved in methionine or cysteine biosynthesis in Gram-positive bacteria. Lineage: Bacteria; Bacillati; Bacillota; Bacilli; Caryophanales; Staphylococcaceae. The record is from RNAcentral.